CGUGUGGGCAACCUGCCCUGUACUGUGGAAUAAUCAUUGGAAACGAUGACUAAUACCGCAUGUGGUCCUCGGAAGGCAUCUUCUGAGGAAGAAAGGAUUUAUUCGGUACAGGAUGGGCCCGCAUCUGAUUAGCUAGUUGGUGAGAUAACAGCCCACCAAGGCGACGAUCAGUAGCCGACCUGAGAGGGCGAUCGGCCACAUUGGGACUGAGACACGGCCCAA
This 222-nucleotide ribosomal RNA is filed under the name uncultured bacterium. Its description in RNAcentral is "partial 16S ribosomal RNA". It matches the Rfam family "Bacterial small subunit ribosomal RNA", at positions 114 to 334 of the family's 1533-position model. The record is from RNAcentral.